AUACGGAGGGUGCAAGCGUUAUUCGGAAUCACUGGGCGUAAAGGACGCGUAGGCGGGUUGGCAAGUCAGAUGUGAAAUCCUACAGCUUAACUGUAGAACUGCAUUUGAAACUGCUAACCUAGAGUAUGGGAGGGGGAGAUGGAAUUAGUGGUGUAGGGGUAAAAUCCGUAGAUAUCACUAGGAAUACCGCAAGCGAAGGCGAUCUCCUGGAACAUAACUGACGCUAAGGCGUGAAAGCGUGGGGAGCAAACAGGAUUAGAUACCCUAGUAGUCC
This 274-nucleotide ribosomal RNA is filed under the name uncultured bacterium. RNAcentral describes it as "partial 16S ribosomal RNA". It matches the Rfam family "Bacterial small subunit ribosomal RNA", at positions 523 to 796 of the family's 1533-position model. The record is from RNAcentral.